UAGCAUAUGCUUGUCUCAAAGAUUAAGCCAUGCAUGUCUCAGUGUAAACACUAGUAUUGUGAAACUGCGAAUGGCUCAUUAAAUCAGUGAUAAUCUCUUUGAUAGUGCGUGGCACAUGGAUAACUGUGCUAACUGUAGAGCUAAUACAUGCCCAGAUUCUUGGAUUUCGGUCUAAGAAGCAUUUAUUAGAUUCGAGCCAACCUGGUGUCCUUGUGGCAUCAGUGCGGAUGAAUCAUAAUAACUUUGCGAAUCACAGAGCCCCAUUUAUGAGGCGGUGAUGCAUCAUUCGAAUCUCUGCCCUAUCAGCUUUUGAUGGUAGUGUCGUGGACUACCAUGGCGAUAACGGGUAACGGAGAAUUAGGGUUCGAUUCCGGAGAGGGAGCCUGAGAAAUGGCUACCACAUCCAAGGAAGGCAGCAGGCGCGUAAAUUACCCAAUCCUGACUCAGGGAGGUAGUGACCAUAAAUAACGACGCUCGACCUUUGGUCGUGCGAUCGGAAUGCGAGAAGUUUUAAGCCCUUCUCGAAAGCAACUGGAGGGCAAGUCUGGUGCCAGCAGCCGCGGUAAUACCAGCUCCAGUAGCGUAUAUUAAAGUUGUUGCAGUUAAAAAGCUCGUAGUUGGAUGUCGGAAAGGACCUCCUUGGUGUCCGUCACUCCUAUGUGAGUGUUCGUGACCCAGAGUGUUUUACCCUUUCUAUUUUCGACUGGAAUCGGGUAUGUUUUUUGUGCAUUUACUUGCACGAUGUGCCUACACUCCUCACAAGGGAGUGGAACGGUUUCGGUCAUGUUACUGUGAAGAAAUCAGAGUGCUCAAAGCAGGCAUUUGUCCGAAUGGAUUAGCAUGGGAUAACCACCCUUGACCUCGGUCUUUGGGAGUUGGUUCAAAAGAUCGAUGGCGCUUGAUUAAUAGGAACAGUCGGGGGCAUUCGUAUUCCGAAGUCAGAGGUGAAAUUCUUGGAUUUUCGGAAGACGAACAUAUGCGAAAGCAUUUGCCAAGGAUGUUUUCAUUAAUCAAGAACGAAAGUUCGGGGAUCGAAGACGAUCAGAUACCGUCGUAGUCCGAACCAUAAACGAUGCCGACUAGGGAUUGGAAGAUGUGCUUUUGCCAUCUUUCAGCACCUUCCGAGAAAUCAAAGUUUUUGGGUUCCGGGGGGAGUAUGGUCGCAAGGCUGAAACUUAAAGGAAUUGACGGAAGGGCACCACCAGGAGUGGAGCCUGCGGCUUAAUUUGACUCAACACGGGGAAACUUACCAGGUCCAGACAUAGGAAGGAUUGACAGAUUGACAGCUCUUUCUUGAUUCUAUGGGUGGUGGUGCAUGGCCGUUCUUAGUUGGUGGAGUGAUUUGUCUGGUUAAUUCCGAUAACGAACGAGACCUUCACCUCUAAAUAGUGUGCAUCUCUAUACUUCUUGUGAGGUGAGUUUUGGAGAAAAGUGGGUUCGCUCGCAAUUUUCCUCUCUCUUACUUGAACGAGAUGUCCUUUUUAAUCACACUUCUUAGAGGGACGAUGUGCGUUAGCACAAGGAAGUUGGAGGCAAUAACAGGUCUGUGAUGCCCUUAGAUGUCCUGGGCCGCACGCGUGCUACACUGACGGAUCCAACAAGUUUGCUAUUAUGACCUGGACCGAAAGGUUUGGGAAAUCUGGCAAUGUCCGUCGUGAUGGGGAUCGACCCUUGUAACUUGGUCGUGAACGAGGAAUUCCUUGUAAGCGCAAGUCAUCAUCUUGCGUUGAAUACGUCCCUGCCCUUUGUACACACCGCCCGUCGCUCCUACCGAUGGAUGGUCCGGUGAAAUCUUCGGAUGUCCUUUAAUCUUUUUCACUCGUUGGAAAAGUUAGAGAGCAGAAGUUGAUUAAACUUUAUCAUCUAGAGGAAGGAGAAGUCGUAACAAGGUUUCC
RNAcentral lists this ribosomal RNA (1895 nucleotides) under Stygiella incarcerata. RNAcentral describes it as "SSU rRNA". It matches the Rfam family "Eukaryotic small subunit ribosomal RNA". The record is from RNAcentral. Lineage: Eukaryota; Jakobea; Jakobida; Stygiellidae.